AUAAGCACAGAGAAGACUUCGUACUGAACCUGCCAAGUACACAACCAAGCAAGUUCCUUAACCGUUAAAAAGACAAAUAUAGCACCUGGUGGUCAGACAGAAACUUAUCUGCCAGUCAAUUCUCUAGGAAGAAGACAUCCUGUUUUAACUGUGAAAAUGAUUUGGAUCUACAUGAUCAUCACAUCUCUGGCAACGACAGCUCUGGCAAAAGCAGUGCGAUGGAGAGGGAACCUGACAACAAGGCUGCAAUGACUACCUUCAAAAUAGUCCGCCCUCUUCAUCGGACCAACGUGAACUCUUUGCCGCUGCCAUCAUUGUUGUUGUGAUGAAGGGAUGGUUAUGUUACGUUCCGCACAUCAUGUUAACAGCGCUUGUGCACAUGUGUGACCAAUCGUUCCGUGAUGAAGUCCACCUCUUCAGACUGUGCCAUGCCUGGGAAGCGCGGCGUAACCCAACCAUAGAACACUUGUACUCACACUAGACAGAGAUUCUGGAUUUUAGAGGGAAAGCACUGCAUGGUUGUCUCGUGUGAGUGCGCCUUAAAUGUUGCCUGCGUGGGUUUUCUCCAGGUUCUCUAGCUUUUUCCAGAGUCUGAAGACAUGCUUGUUGGUACAGAUGGGAUUUAUGACUCUUUGAAGUGAGCUGGAUUGUAUUCCGGACCUUGUUCCUUUCAGACAGUCAAUCAACAGGCUGGCUCAAUUUGACGUUUACUUAUUCUUAAGAUGCCAGCCUGGGGGCAAAUUAUUUUAUCUUCAAAAUAAGCACUGCAAUAGAGUAAGAUACAAAAUACAAUAGACAUUUUCUUGGAGGGAUAUCUGAGUCCAUAUACACUAUAUCUAAAGUAUACAUUCUAGACAGACAGAUGCUAUGCAUGCCAGG
This is a long non-coding RNA of Mugil cephalus (flathead mullet), 879 nucleotides long. RefSeq lists it as uncharacterized. Lineage: Eukaryota; Metazoa; Chordata; Actinopteri; Mugiliformes; Mugilidae. The transcript has 5 exons. The record is from RefSeq and is a predicted model, not a curated record.